Molecule: ribosomal RNA, 254 nt
Filed under: uncultured bacterium
Lineage: Bacteria
Description: partial 16S ribosomal RNA
Rfam family: Bacterial small subunit ribosomal RNA
Source: RNAcentral
UACGUAGGGUGCGAGCGUUGUCCGGAAUUAUUGGGCGUAAAGAGCUCGUAGGCGGCUUGUCGCGUCAACUGUGAAAACCCGUGGCUCAACCAUGUGGUCUGCAGUCGAUACGGGCAGGCUAGAAUUCGGUAGGGGAGACUGGAAUUCCUGGUGUAGCGGUGAAAUGCGCAGAUAUCAGGAGGAACACCGGUGGCGAAGGCGGGUCUCUGGGCCGAUAUUGACGCUGAGGCACGAAAGCGUGGGGAGCAAACAGG